Lepisosteus oculatus (spotted gar) is the source of this 711-nucleotide long non-coding RNA. RefSeq lists it as uncharacterized. NCBI's taxonomy places the organism in Eukaryota, Metazoa, Chordata, Actinopteri, Semionotiformes, Lepisosteidae. The record is from RefSeq and is a predicted model, not a curated record.
CAAGGUUAAGUUCAAAUGCACCACCGUCUUGUUCCUCGAGCUGUCCUGACCCCGGGGAUGAUGGGAGCUGACAGAGAGCAGAUUGGGUGGCACUUAUUCUACUGAUUGAGCCUCAGUGCGGAAACAGAGGUCGACAACUAUCAAACGCUGUCCUGAAAUGGCGAGGAGAGAGGUCUCUGGGACGGGGGGCGCUGCCAGACCGCCUUCACCUCAAAGAGACAGCUGGUGCUGCAGACAACAAGGCCAUCGCAUCAGGGUGAGGACUGGCAGGAGUCUGUUGCUUGGCCAGAGAGCAGCUGCAAUACGGCAAUGCUGUAGUCCCACAUCUAAUAAUAGAACUGGAACAACAGGAGGCCACAAUCAUCUGUGUGUAAUUUGACGUGGAUACAUAGUUGAGCAGAAGAAGACAGGAAGAUGGAAAUCAGCACAUGGCUGCAAUUCCAGAGUUUCUUUCUGAGUGACAAGCAUCUGUCGGCACUCUCACAGACCUCUGGACUUACGGACAGCUUCCCACAGAAAUGUCCAGAACAAUAUUGGCAUGUGACUAUCAGCACUAAGCCCCCAGGCAUCCUAUAAUAAUAAACAGGUAAUUGAAAGCUCAGCUCAGUACGUGCUGUUAGCAGGGAGCAGAGCUGCUGAAAGAUUGCUGCACCAUUUGGUGUUACAAAGGUGUUGAAAGAAGCUAUUAUAUUAGUUAGUCUGUACCUGUAA